RNAcentral lists this ribosomal RNA (490 nucleotides) under uncultured bacterium. RNAcentral's name for it is "partial 16S ribosomal RNA". It matches the Rfam family "Bacterial small subunit ribosomal RNA", at positions 30 to 507 of the family's 1533-position model. The record is from RNAcentral.
AUUGAACGCUGGCGGCAGGCCUAACACAUGCAAGUCGAACGGUAACAGGAAGACGCUUGCUUCUUUGCUUUCGCGUGGCGGACGGGUGUGUCAUGUCUGUGAAACUGCCUGAUGGCGGGGGAUAACUACUGGAAACGGUAGCUAAUACCGCAUAACGUCUCAAGCCCAAAGAGGGGGACCUUCGGGCCUCUUGCCUUCGGCUGUGCCCUGAUGGGAUUAGCUAGUAGGUGGGGUAACGGCUCACCUAGGCGACGAUCCCUAGCUGGUCUGAGAGGAUGAUCAGCCACACUGGAACUGAGACACGGUCCAGACUCCUACGGGAGGCAGCAGUAGGGAAUAUUGCACAAUGGGCGAAAGCCUGAUGCAGCCAUGCCGCGUGUAUGAAGAAGGCCUUCGGGUUGUAAAGUACUUUCAGCGGGGAAGAAGAGAGGAAAGUUAAUACCUGUGCUCAUUGACGGUACCCGCAGAAGAAGCACCGGCUAACUCCGUG